UUAAGGCUGAGACUUGAUGCAUACCCGUUGUGGGGAAUUCAGUGAUCCUAUGCUGCCGAGAAAAGCCUCUAGUGAGUUCAUACACGGCCCGUACCCCAAACCGACACAGGUGAUCAGGUAGAGAAUACCAAGGCGAUCGAGAGAACUGUGGUUAAGGAACUCGGCAAAAUGCCCCCGUAACUUCGGGAGAAGGGGGACCAUGCCCGGUGAACAUCUUCACGGUGGGAGCUGGGUGUGGUCGCAGAGACCAGAGAGAAGCGACUGUUUACUAAAAACACAGGUCCGUGCGAAGACGUAAGUCGAUGUAUACGGACUGACGCCUGCCCGGUGCUGGAAGGUUAAGAGGACCGGUUAGCCGUAAGGCGAAGCUGAGAAUUUAAGCCCCAGUAAACGGCGGUGGUAACUAUAACCAUCCUAAGGUAGCGAAAUUCCUUGUCGGGUAAGUUCCGACCUGCACGAAUGGCGUAACGACUUCUCUGCUGUCUCGACCACAGACUUGGCGAAAUUGCACUACGAGUAAAGAUGCUCGUUACGCGCGGCAGGACGAAAAGACCCCGGGACCUUUACUAUAGCUUGGUAUUGGCGUUCGAUUCGGUUUGUGUAGGAUAGGUGGGAGACUGUGAAGCAUGCACGCCAGUGUGUGUGGAGUCGUUGUUGAAAUACCACUCUGAUCGUAUUGGACGUCUAACCUCGGCCCAUGAUCUGGGUUAGGGACAGUGCCUGGUGGGUAGUUUAACUGGGGCGGUUGCCUCCUAAAGAGUAACGGAGGCGCCCAAAGGUUCCCUCAGCCUGGAUGGCAAUCAGGCGUUGAGUGCAAGUGCACAAGGGAGCUUGACUGUGAGACUGACACGUCGAGCAGGGACGAAAGUCGGGACUAGUGAUCCGGCACCGGCAAGUGGAAGCGGUGUCGCUCAACGGAUAAAAGGUACCCCGGGGAUAACAGGCUGAUCUUCCCCAAGAGUCCAUAUCGACGGGAUGGUUUGGCACCUCGAUGUCGGCUCGUCGCAUCCUGGGGCUGGAGUAGGUCCCAAGGGUUGGGCUGUUCGCCCAUUAAAGCGGCACGCGAGCUGGGUUUAGAACGUCGUGGGACAGUUCGGUCUCUAUCCGCCGCGCGCGUAAGAAACUUGAGGAAGGCUGUCCCUAGUACGAGAGGACCGGGACGGACGAACCUCUGGUGUGCCAGUUGUUCCACCAGGAGCAUGGCUGGUUAGCUACGUUCGGAAGGGAUAACUGCUGAAAGCAUCUAAGCGGGAAGCCUGUUCCAAGAUGAGGUUUCUCACCACCUUGCGUGGUUAAGGCCCCCUACAGACCAUGGGGUUGAUAGGCCGGAACUGGAAGCGCAGCAAUGCGUGGAGGUGACCGGUACUAAUAGGCCGAGGGCC
Molecule: ribosomal RNA, 1382 nt
Filed under: metagenome
Description: bacterial LSU rRNA
Rfam family: Bacterial large subunit ribosomal RNA
Source: RNAcentral